Molecule: ribosomal RNA, 815 nt
Filed under: uncultured bacterium
Lineage: Bacteria
Description: bacterial SSU rRNA
Rfam family: Bacterial small subunit ribosomal RNA
Source: RNAcentral
CAGGACGAACGCUGGCGGCGUGCUUAACACAUGCAAGUCGAACGGAAAGGCCCUGCUUUUGUGGGGUGCUCGAGUGGCGAACGGGUGAGUAACACGUGAGUAACCUGCCCUUGACUUUGGGAUAACUUCAGGAAACUGGGGCUAAUACCGGAUAGGAGCUCCUGCUGCAUGGUGGGGGUUGGAAAGUUUCGGCGGUUGGGGAUGGACUCGCGGCUUAUCAGCUUGUUGGUGGGGUAGUGGCUUACCAAGGCUUUGACGGGUAGCCGGCCUGAGAGGGUGACCGGCCACAUUGGGACUGAGAUACGGCCCAGACUCCUACGGGAGGCAGCAGUGGGGAAUAUUGCACAAUGGGCGGAAGCCUGAUGCAGCAACGCCGCGUGCGGGAUGACGGCCUUCGGGUUGUAAACCGCUUUCGCCUGUGACGAAGCGUGAGUGACGGUAAUGGGUAAAGAAGCACCGGCUAACUACGUGCCAGCAGCCGCGGUGAUACGUAGGGUGCGAGCGUUGUCCGGAUUUAUUGGGCGUAAAGGGCUCGUAGGUGGUUGAUCGCGUCGGAAGUGUAAUCUUGGGGCUUAACCCUGAGCGUGCUUUCGAUACGGGUUGACUUGAGGAAGGUAUGGGAGAAUGGAAUUCCUGGUGGAGCGGUGGAAUGCGCAGAUAUCAGGAGGAACACCAGUGGCGAAGGCGGUUCUCUGGGCCUUUCCUGACGCUGAGGAGCGAAAGCGUGGGGAGCGAACAGGCUUAGAUACCCUGGUAGUCCACGCUGUAAACGGUGGGUACUANGUGUGGGGUCCAUUCCACGGGUUCCGUGCCGU